Molecule: ribosomal RNA, 205 nt
Filed under: uncultured bacterium
Lineage: Bacteria
Description: partial 16S ribosomal RNA
Rfam family: Bacterial small subunit ribosomal RNA
Source: RNAcentral
UGCGCAGGCGGGAUGUUAAGUCGGCGGUGAAAUUUUGCAGCUCAACUGUAAAAGUGCCUUCGAUACUGGCUUUCUUGAGUGUGGAUGAAGUAGGCGGAAUUUGUGGUGUAGCGGUGAAAUGCUUAGAUAUCACGAGGAACUCCGAUUGCGCAGGCAGCUUACUAAACCACUACUGACGCUCAUGCACGAAGGCUGGGAUCAAACA